CGAUCAGCGGCAUCAGCGCCUCGGCAUGGCCGCGCUUCAUCUCCAGCGUUUCCUGUGCAAUGACCGCUUUCGUGGCGGCAUCGAGCACGGCAGCAGCGCAGAGCAGCGCAGUAGUCCAGCGCGGUAUCGAUGGCGAGAACGAUCAUUCAAAGACCGAGAAGAUGGGCAAGGGUGCCGGCAACGUGCCGCCGAAAAGGCAAAGGGGCAAGCGGUUCGGCGCUUGCC
Molecule: unclassified non-coding RNA, 225 nt
Filed under: Hevea brasiliensis (rubber tree)
Lineage: Eukaryota; Viridiplantae; Streptophyta; Magnoliopsida; Malpighiales; Euphorbiaceae
Source: RNAcentral